UCUCCGUUGGUGAACCAGCGGAGGGAUCAUUACAGGACUCGCAAGACUCCUAUAACCCUGUGAACUUACUACAAAGCACGUUGCUUCGGCGGUUGUCUCCGGGUGGUUUUUACCCUCGGAAGCGCUAAGCCCGCCGGCAGCCUACUAAAUUCUGUCUCUUUGCGUUGGCAUCUCGAGUACAAACAAAUAAGUUAAAACUUUCAACAACGGAUCUCUUGGUUCUG
This 224-nucleotide unclassified non-coding RNA is filed under the name plant metagenome. RNAcentral describes it as "partial contains small subunit ribosomal RNA, internal transcribed spacer 1, and 5.8S ribosomal RNA". The record is from RNAcentral.